GCCUAUGCCUAAACGUAAAUAUCCACCAGGCCAGAAAAAUACUUGCAAAAGCAAGAAACUCAACGGACCCGACGGUGUUCCACACUACCUAGAGGAGCCUGUCCUAUAAUCGAUAACCCGCGAUAAACCUCACCCCCCCUGGCCUUCCCAGCCUAUAUACCGCCGUUGUCAGUCUGCCUUUAAGAGUAGCGGACUAAACCGAUUCUAACUCAAAAACGACAGGUCAAGGUGUAGCUAAUGGAAGGGGAAGAGAUGGGCUACAUUACCACCACACUGGUCAUAAACGGAACAUGAUCUGAAACAAAUCAUAACAAGGAGAAUUUAGCAGUAAAGGAAGUAAGAACGCUCCCUUGAACAUAGCCCUGGAACGCU
RNAcentral lists this ribosomal RNA (372 nucleotides) under Leiolepis belliana. Its description in RNAcentral is "partial 12S rRNA". It matches the Rfam family "Bacterial small subunit ribosomal RNA", at positions 839 to 1383 of the family's 1533-position model. The record is from RNAcentral. Lineage: Eukaryota; Metazoa; Chordata; Lepidosauria; Squamata; Agamidae.